RNAcentral lists this ribosomal RNA (497 nucleotides) under uncultured bacterium. RNAcentral describes it as "partial 16S ribosomal RNA". It matches the Rfam family "Bacterial small subunit ribosomal RNA", at positions 28 to 507 of the family's 1533-position model. The record is from RNAcentral.
GAUGAACGCUGGCGGCGUGCCUAAUACAUGCAAGUCGAGCGAACAGAUAAGGAGCUUUCUACUUUGACGUUAGCGGCGGACGGGUGAGUAAAACGUGGGUAACCUACCUAUAAAACUGGGGUAACUUCGUGAAACCGGAGCUAAUACCGGAGAAUAUUUCGAACCGCAUGGUUCGAUAGUGAAAGAUGGUUUUGCUAUCACUUAUAGAUGGACCCGCGCCGGAUUAGCUAGUUGGUAAGGUAACGGCUUACCAAGGCGACGAUACGUAGCCGACCUGAGAGGGUGAUCGGCCACACUGGAACUGAGACACGGCCCAGACUCCUACGGGAGGCAGCAGUAGGGAAUCUUCCGCAAUGGGCGAAAGCCUGACGGAGCAACGCCGCGUGAGUGAUGAAGGUCUUCGGAUCGUAAAACUCUGUUAUUAGGGAAGAACAUACGUGUAAGUAACUGUGCACGUCUUGACGGUACCUAAUAAGAAAGCCACGGCUAACUACGUG